Molecule: unclassified non-coding RNA, 372 nt
Filed under: uncultured Flavobacteriaceae bacterium
Lineage: Bacteria; Pseudomonadati; Bacteroidota; Flavobacteriia; Flavobacteriales; Flavobacteriaceae
Description: contains 16S-23S intergenic spacer region
Source: RNAcentral
UCGCAGUUUGCACUGGCAGUCUCGUUAGAGUUCCCGACACGACUCGCUGGCAACUAACGACAGGGGUUGCGCUCGUUAUAGGACUUAACCUGACACCUCACGGCACGAGCUGACGACAACCAUGCAGCACCUUGUAAAUUGUCUUGCGAAAGUUCUGUUUCCAAAACGGUCAAUCUACAUUUAAGCCUUGGUAAGGUUCCUCGCGUAUCAUCGAAUUAAACCACAUGCUCCACCGCUUGUGCGGGCCCCCGUCAAUUCCUUUGAGUUUCAUUCUUGCGAACGUACUCCCCAGGUGGGAUACUUAUCACUUUCGCUUAGCCACUCAGGAGUGAUCCCGAACAGCUAGUAUCCAUCGUUUACGGCGUGGACUAC